Molecule: ribosomal RNA, 432 nt
Filed under: uncultured bacterium
Lineage: Bacteria
Description: partial 16S ribosomal RNA
Rfam family: Bacterial small subunit ribosomal RNA
Source: RNAcentral
GCGCACGCUGGCGGCAGGCCUCACACAUGCCAGUCGCACGAACUCUUCGGAGUUAGUGGCGGACGGGUGAGUAACACGUGGGAACGUGCCUUUUGGUUCGGAAUAACUCAGGGAAACUUGUGCUAAUACCGAAUGUGCCCUUCGGGGGAAAGAUUUAUCGCCAUUAGAGCGGCCCGCGUCUGAUUAGCUAGUUGGUGAGGUAACGGCUCACCAAGGCGACGAUCAGUAGCUGGUCUGAGAGGAUGACCAGCCACACUGGGACUGAGACACGGCCCAGACUCCUACGGGAGGCAGCAGUGGGGAAUCUUGCGCAAUGGGCGAAAGCCUGACGCAGCCAUGCCGCGUGAAUGAUGAAGGUCUUAGGAUUGUAAAAUUCUUUCACCGGGGACGAUAAUGACGGUACCCGGAGAAGAAGCCCCGGCUAACUUCGUG